RNAcentral lists this ribosomal RNA (504 nucleotides) under uncultured bacterium. RNAcentral's name for it is "partial 16S ribosomal RNA". It matches the Rfam family "Bacterial small subunit ribosomal RNA", at positions 30 to 523 of the family's 1533-position model. The record is from RNAcentral.
AUUGAACGCUAGCGGCAUGCCUAACACAUGCAAGUCGAACGGCAGCACGAGGAGCUUGCUCCUUGGUGGCGAGUGGCGGACGGGUGAGUAACGCGUAGGAAUCUGCCUCGUAGUGGGGGACAACCCGGGGAAGCUCGGGCUAAUACCGCAUAAUCUCUUCGGAGCAAAGUUGGGGACCUUCGGGCCUAACACUAUGAGAUGAGCCUGCGUUGGAUUAGCUAGUUGGUGGGGUAAAGGCCUACCAAGGCGACGAUCCAUAGCUGGUUUGCGAGGACAGACAGCCACACUGGGACUGAGACACGGCCCAGACUCCUACGGGAGGCAGCAGUGGGGAAUAUUGGACAAUGGGCGAAAGCCUGAUCCAGCAAUGCCGCGUGUGUGAAGAAGGCCUUCGGGUUGUAAAGCACUUUUAGUGGGGAAGAAAAAGACAAGGAUAAUACCCUUGGAAAUUGACGUUACCCACAGAAAAAGCACUGGCUAACUCUGUGCCAGCCGCCGCCGUAA